RNAcentral lists this ribosomal RNA (247 nucleotides) under uncultured archaeon. Its description in RNAcentral is "partial 16S ribosomal RNA". It matches the Rfam family "Archaeal small subunit ribosomal RNA", at positions 691 to 938 of the family's 1478-position model. The record is from RNAcentral.
CCGACGGUGAGGGGUGAAAGCUGGGGGCACGAACCGGAUUAGAUACCCGGGUAGUCCCAGCUGUAAACGAUGCUCGCUAGGUGUCAGGUGCGGUGCGACCGCAUCUGGUGCCGCAGUGAAAACUUGAAGCGAGUCACCUGGGAAGUACGGUCGCAAGGCUGAAACUUAAAGGAAUUGGCGGGGGAGCACUACAACGGGUGGAGCCUGCGGUUCAAUUGGAUUCAACGCCGGAAAGCUACCGGACUCG